AUCCAGACUCCUACGGGAGGCAGCAGUGGGGAAUAUUGCACAAUGGGGGGAACCCUGAUGCAGCGACGCCGCGUGAGUGAAGAAGUAUUUCGGUAUGUAAAGCCCUGUCAGCAGGGAAGAAAAUGACGGUACCUGAAGAAGAAGCCCCGGCUAACUACGUGCCAGCAGCCGCGGUAAUACGUAGGGGGCAAGCGUUAUCCGGAUUUACUGGGUGUAAAGGGGGCGCAGACGGCGAUGCAAGCCAGGAGUGAAAGCCCGGGGCCCAACCCCGGGACUGCUCUUGGAACUGCGUGGCUAGAGUGCAGGAGGGGCAGGCGGAAUUCCUGGUGUAGCGGUGAAAUGCGUAGAUAUCAGGAGGAACACCGGUGGCGAAGGCGGCCUGCUGGACUGCAACUGACGUUGAGGCCCGAAAGCGUGGGGAGCAAACAGGAUUAGAUACCCCUGUA
This 446-nucleotide ribosomal RNA is filed under the name uncultured bacterium. Its description in RNAcentral is "partial 16S ribosomal RNA". It matches the Rfam family "Bacterial small subunit ribosomal RNA", at positions 329 to 792 of the family's 1533-position model. The record is from RNAcentral.